This 450-nucleotide ribosomal RNA is filed under the name uncultured bacterium. RNAcentral's name for it is "bacterial SSU rRNA". It matches the Rfam family "Bacterial small subunit ribosomal RNA", at positions 354 to 796 of the family's 1533-position model. The record is from RNAcentral.
GUGGGGAAUAUUGGACAAUGGGGGAAACCCUGAUCCAGCGACGCCGCGUGGGUGAAGAAGGCCUGCGGGUUGUAAAGCCCUUUCGGUGGGGAAGAAAAGCCUCGACCUAACACGUCGGGGUAUUGACGUAACCCACAAAAGAAGCACCGGCUAACUCUGUGCCAGCAGCCGCGGUAAUACAGAGGGUGCGAGCGUUAAUCGGAAUUACUGGGCGUAAAGCGCGCGUAGGCGGCUAUACAAGUCGAGUGUGAAAUCCCCGGGCUCAACCUGGGAACUGCAUUCGAGACUGUAUGGCUUGAGUAUGGGAGAGGGAGGCGGAAUUUCAGGUGUAGCGGUGAAAUGCGUAGAUAUCUGAAGGAACAUCAGUGGCGAAAGCGGCCUCCUGGACCAAUACUGACGCUCAUGUGCGAAAGCGUGGGGAGCAAACAGGAUUAGAUACCCUGGUAGUCC